GAUGAACGCUAGCUACAGGCUUAACACAUGCAAGUCGCGGGGCAGCAUGGGGGUUGCUUGCAAUCCCCGAUGGCGACCGGCGCACGGGUGAGUAACGCGUAUCCAACCUGCCCUUCACCACGGGAUAACCCGGCGAAAGUCGGACUAAUACCGUAUGUUGUCCAUUGACGGCAUCCGAUUUGGGCGACAGGCUUGGCGGGGAGGGGUGGGGAGGCGUCCGAUUAGCCAGACGGCGGGGUAACGGCCCGCCGUGGCUACGAUCGGUAGGGGUUCUGAGAGGAAGGUCCCCCACACUGGAACUGAGACACGGUCCAGACUCCUACGGGAGGCAGCAGUGAGGAAUAUUGGUCAAUGGGCGUAAGCCUGAACCAGCCAAGUAGCGUGCAGGAUGACGGCCCUAUGGGUUGUAAACUGCUUUUAUGCGGGGAUAAAGUGGCCCACGUGUGGGCUUUUGCAGGUACCGCAUGAAUAAGGACCGGCUAAUUCCGUG
Molecule: ribosomal RNA, 490 nt
Filed under: uncultured bacterium
Lineage: Bacteria
Description: partial 16S ribosomal RNA
Rfam family: Bacterial small subunit ribosomal RNA
Source: RNAcentral